CCUACGGGAGGCAGCAGUAGGGAAUCUUUCACAAUGGGCGAAAGCCUGAUGGAGCAACGCCGCGUGCAGGAUGAAGGCCUUCGGGUUGUAAACUGCUUUUAUAAGCGAGAAAUAUGAUGGUAACUUAUGAAUAAGGAUCUGCUAACUACGUGCCAGCAGCCGCGGUCAUACGUAGGAUCCGAGCAUUAUCCGGAGUGACUGGGUGUAAAGAGUUGCGUAGGUGGCAUAAUAAGUAGCUAGUGAAAUCUGGUGGCUCAACAAUUCAGACUAUUAGCUAAACUGUUAAGCUCGAGACCGUUAGGGGUAACUGGAAUUUCUAGUGUAGGAGUGAAAUCCGUAGAUAUUAGAAGGAACACCAAUAGCGUAGGCAGGUUGCUGGGACGGUUCUGACACUAAGGCACGAAAGCGUAGGGAGCAAACGGGAUUAGAUACCCGUGUAGUC
Molecule: ribosomal RNA, 442 nt
Filed under: uncultured bacterium
Lineage: Bacteria
Description: partial 16S ribosomal RNA
Rfam family: Bacterial small subunit ribosomal RNA
Source: RNAcentral